GACGAACCGUGCGAACGUUAUUCGGAAUCACUGGGCUUAAAGCGCGUGUAGGCGGGCCGGCACGUCGGACGUUGAAAUCCCCCGGCUCAACCGGGGAAGGGGCGCCGAUACGACCGGCCUGGAGGAACGUAGGGGGAGCUGGAACUUCCGGAGGAGCGGUGAAAUGCGUUGAGAUCGGAAGGAACGCCCGUGGCGAAAGCGAGCUCCUGGACGUUUUCUGACGCUGAGACGCGAAAGCCAGGGGAGCGAACGGG
This 254-nucleotide ribosomal RNA is filed under the name uncultured bacterium. RNAcentral's name for it is "partial 16S ribosomal RNA". It matches the Rfam family "Bacterial small subunit ribosomal RNA", at positions 524 to 776 of the family's 1533-position model. The record is from RNAcentral.